Molecule: ribosomal RNA, 322 nt
Filed under: Klebsiella pneumoniae subsp. pneumoniae KPNIH20
Lineage: Bacteria; Pseudomonadati; Pseudomonadota; Gammaproteobacteria; Enterobacterales; Enterobacteriaceae
Description: bacterial LSU rRNA
Rfam family: Bacterial large subunit ribosomal RNA
Source: RNAcentral
UAGAACGUCGUGAGACAGUUCGGUCCCUAUCUGCCGUGGGCGCUGGAGAAUUGAGGGGGGCUGCUCCUAGUAACGAGAGGACCGGAGUGGACGCAUCACUGGUGUUCGGGUUGUCAUGCCAAUGGCACUGCCCGGUAGCUAAAUGCGGAAGAGAUAAGUGCUGAAAGCAUCUAAGCACGAAACUUGCCCCGAGAUGAGUUCUCCCUGAGACUUUAAGUCUCCUGAAGGAACGUUGAAGACGACGACGUUGAUAGGCCGGGUGUGUAAGCGCAGCGAUGCGUUGAGCUAACCGGUACUAAUGAACCGUGAGGCUUAACCUUAC